AGCGAACGCUGGCGGCAGGCUUAACACAUGCAAGUCGAACGCAUCCUUCGGGGUGAGUGGCAGACGGGUGAGUAACACGUGGGAACGUACCCUUCGAUCUGGGAUAACUUCGGGAAACUGGAGCUAAUACCGGAUACGCCCUUUUGGGGAAAGGUUUACUGUCGAAGGAUCGGCCCGCGUCUGAUGAGCUUGUUGGUGGGGUAACGGCCUACCAAGGCGACGAUCAGUAGCUGGUCUGAGAGGAUGAUCAGCCACACUGGGACUGAGACACGGCCCAGACUCCUACGGGAGGCAGCAGUGGGGAAUAUUGGACAAUGGGCGCAAGCCUGAUCCAGCCAUGCCGCGUGAGUGAUGAAGGCCUUAGGGUUGUAAAGCUCUUUUGUCCGGGACGAUAAUGACGGUACCGGAAGAAUAAGCCCCGGCUAACUUCGUG
RNAcentral lists this ribosomal RNA (433 nucleotides) under uncultured bacterium. Its description in RNAcentral is "partial 16S ribosomal RNA". It matches the Rfam family "Bacterial small subunit ribosomal RNA", at positions 29 to 507 of the family's 1533-position model. The record is from RNAcentral.